CGUGUAGGCGGCCAGGUAGGUCCGAUGUGAAAACUGGAGGCUCAACCUCCAGCUGUCAUUGGAAACCAUCUGGCUAGAGUCCGGAAGAGGAGAGUGGAAUUCCUGGUGUAGCGGUGAAAUGCGCAGAUAUCAGGAAGAACACCGAUGGCGAAGGCAGCUCUCUGGGACGGUACUGACGCUGAGACGCGAAAGCGUGGGAGCGAACA
Molecule: ribosomal RNA, 206 nt
Filed under: uncultured bacterium
Lineage: Bacteria
Description: partial 16S ribosomal RNA
Rfam family: Bacterial small subunit ribosomal RNA
Source: RNAcentral